AUAUUUUAACCCUCUCAGAAUCUGGUAAAGGAAAUAACAAAUGUGGUCGUUGCUGAGGUGUUGAGUCUUUAAGAGCUUGUAAAGAUCUGUUUCCAUAAGGUCUUGCACAAUGUAUACGUCUUUCAUUUGUUCAAUAGUUGGAGCUCUGAUAAUAUCAUUUAUUCCGAUAAUAUUCUCAUGCCUGAAGCGCAGUAAGAUCUUUAUCUCUCUCAGAGUUCUCUGGCAGUACGUCUGAUGCUCAAAAGGACUGAUUUUCUUUAUAGCAACUCGAACUUUGUUGACGUUAUCGUAGGCAGAACACACCAUGCCGUACGCCCCCUCGCCGAUGUAGGAGAGGUUGGUGUAGCGCGGCCCCACGUCGAACACUUGGCCCCGCACCAUCUCCGGGCCCCCGGCGCCGGCAGAGCCGCCCGCGGCCGCGGCCCCCGCCACCGCCGCCAUGUUGUCCGUGCCGGGAACCGCGGCGACUGCGUGCGGGGAGGGCCGGGCAGGCGGAGGAAGGAGGAGGACGGGGAAGAGAGUGCGAGGAGAAAGAAGGCGGGCUCCGCCCCGCCGCGCUCCGCAGGCCUGGGCGCCGGCUGCCGGGCCCACUCAGCACCGUCGCCGCCGCGGCCGCUCUGAGGAGACGGAACCACCGCGCGCGCGCGCAUCGACCGCGGCCGAGGAG
Molecule: long non-coding RNA, 667 nt
Filed under: Gallus gallus (chicken)
Lineage: Eukaryota; Metazoa; Chordata; Aves; Galliformes; Phasianidae
Source: RNAcentral